GCCGUCCACGUGCGCACAUUUGUCUCCUGUGCUCGCGGGCGGACAGGUAGGGGCAGGCGUGGAGUCGGGGUGUCCCGGGGCGGGAAGACUCCCCGUGAAGCCCCCGGGCAACGCCCCUGCCCCGCGCCCGUGGCCGAGUAGGGAGCGCAGGGGUCGAUUUCUGGAGGAGGAGGCGCGUGCGUCUCCGUGGCUGUCCGGCUGGGCGACGACGGGCCCGCACACCGGCAGCGGUGUUUCUGCUCCAUCAAGGACCCCCAGAGCGCAGGCAUCCGGUCCAGGCGGCACCGCAGGGCGCCUCGUCCAGGCUUCUGGGGGAGCUUCUCUGGACCGCGAAGGCCGCCCCGUUGGGAAACCGCGCACGCCACACGAAUGCACUUGGAUAGAUUCGAGGAGAGGAGCCGUAAAAUCGAAAAUCAUGUUUCUCCAGUGCUGUUCUGAGAUAGCCCAACAGCAACCUGAACUGAUUCACCAUCUGCAUAGAAACCAGAAGUUGAUGAGCAAAGUCCAAAUUCUUUUGGCACCAUGUUCAAAGCAGAGCCUUCCCACCCCCUCAUUAACUGCUACUGUGCAUUCAUUUAACAAACACUUGGAGCCCCUGUUCUGUGCUGGCACUGGGGGAACACUGGAAUCAGUCCCUCAGAACCUCUGGGCAAGGGGAUGAAAUUGAGUUUCCAGACCUACAAAGCUGUGAACUGGAUCCUGUCCCACGUCCUGCCCACCUGUGAGGUCCUAUGAGCCGCAGGCUUCCAGGCUCUUUGGCUGCCUAGAGACCUACGUAAAUGGCCUGAAGCGAGUGGUCACGAUCUCCCCAAGUCCUAAGUCCAGUCACCUCUCCCAGUCCCUGCGGUUGCAUUCACCCUUCUCUGGGCCUGCACACUUUCCACCUCCCCAAGUUCCCCUCCAGCCCUGGGUAGGGUUAGGAGCACCCAGCAAGAAAGAAGGGGGCUGUGGAGCUGCUGAGACGCCAGGUCAGGGUUCCCAGUGGGGCCAGAGACAAAGGGCAAAGCAGAACCCUCGCCCCCCAGUAAGGCUAGUCCUCUGGCCCCCAAGGACCCACCGUGCACAAACGGGGGGCUGUCGGGUGCCAGAGUGGUGAGCACAGCCCCCAAAUGCUCGUCUCACCAAGUCGUUGCCCUGCCUCCCAACCUGGCCUUGAGAGCGGAGUCCAAGACCGACCAACGUGCCGAUGCGAUCUGUGAGGGUCGCGCGCCGGCUAGGAGUCGCUGCCAGCGCUCUGGUCUGAGCCCUGCGUCGGAGCAGCCGGGCAGGUGGCAGGCGCCGGUGCACCGGACUCCAGACAGAGAAGAAGGCUUGAUAUGAACAACGUGCCGCCUCAACAGGACCAGGAAAUGGGGAACAGAGUGCGACGGUUUCGCUGUGAGUCCACUCUGCUUGGGAAAUGCGGCUUCUCUGCUUCUGGCGGGAAGCGCCACGUGCCCUGCGAGCAGGAGGCCGGGAGGCCAGGAACCGAG
This 1472-nucleotide long non-coding RNA is filed under the name Equus caballus (horse). RNAcentral describes it as "lncRNA (ENSECAG00000054177.1)". Lineage: Eukaryota; Metazoa; Chordata; Mammalia; Perissodactyla; Equidae. The record is from RNAcentral.